CAGCAGCCGCGGGAAAACGAAGGGUGCAAGCGUUAAUCGGAAUUACUGGGCGUAAAGCGCACGCAGGCGGUUUGUUAAGUCAGAUGUGAAAUCCCCGAGCUUAACUUGGGAACUGCAUUUAAAACUGGCAAGCUAGAGUCUUGUAGAGGGGGGUAGAAUUCCAGGUGUAGCGGUGAAAUGCGUAGAGCUCUAGAGGAAUACCGGUGGCGAAGGCGGCCCCCUGGACAAAGACUGACGCUCAGGUGCGAAAGCGUGGGGAGCAAACAGGAUUAGAUACCCGGGUAGUCCCUGUCUCUUAUAU
This 301-nucleotide ribosomal RNA is filed under the name uncultured bacterium. Its description in RNAcentral is "partial 16S ribosomal RNA". It matches the Rfam family "Bacterial small subunit ribosomal RNA", at positions 509 to 809 of the family's 1533-position model. The record is from RNAcentral.